UACAGAGGUGGCAAGCGUUGUUCGGAAUUACUGGGCGUAAAGGGCGCGUAGGCGGUCUUGUCAGUCCCUUGUGAAAUCCCCCGGCUCAACUGGGGAACUGCACGGGAAACAGCAGGGCUUGAGUUCGGGAGAGGGAAGCGGAAUUCCGGGUGUAGCGGUGAAAUGCGCAGAUAUCAGGAAGAACACCCGUGGCUAAGGCGGCUCUCUAGUACGGUACUGACGCUGAGACGCGAAAGCGUGGGGAGCGAACAGG
RNAcentral lists this ribosomal RNA (253 nucleotides) under uncultured bacterium. RNAcentral describes it as "partial 16S ribosomal RNA". It matches the Rfam family "Bacterial small subunit ribosomal RNA", at positions 524 to 776 of the family's 1533-position model. The record is from RNAcentral.